AUGUACAGAAAAUGUCCCAAAAUGUCCCUAAAAUGUCCCCAAAUGUCCCAAAAUGUCCCCAAAUGUCCCCAAAUGUCCCCAAAUGUCCCCAAAGGUCCCUCAGAAGUCCCAGAUGUCCCCCAGCCCCGCCCGGCCGUGGCCGAGGCCGAAGCCGCGGAUCCGACGUCGUUCGGAGCGGCCGGAGCGGCUCUGGAGCUCCACACGCACCUGGUGGCCACCAAAAGCCUGGUGGCCACCAAAAGCCUGGUGGCCACCAAAGUUCUGGGCCUGGUGGUCACCAAAACCUUGGUGGCCACCAAAAUUCUGGGUCUGGUGGUCACCAGGGCGACCAAAACCUUGGUGGCCACCAAAAUUCUGGGUCUGGUGGUCACCAAAACCUUGGUGGCCUCCAAAAUUCUGGGUCUGGUGGCCACCAAAAUUCUGGGUCUGGUGGUCAUCAAAACCUUCGUGGCCACCAAAAUUCUGGGCCUGGUGGUCACCCAAACCUUGGUGGCCACCAAAAUUCUGGGCCUGGUGGUCACCAAAAUUCUGGGUCUGGUGGUCACCAAAAUUCUGGGUCUGGUGGUCACCAAAAUUCUGGGUCUGGUGGUCACCAAAAUUCUGGGUCUGGUGGUCACCAAAAUUCUGGGUCUGGUGGCCACCAAAAUUCUGGGCCUGGUGGUCACCCAAAUUCUGGGCCUGGUGGUCAUCCAAACCUUGGUGGUCACCAAAAUUCUGGGCCUGGUGGUCACCAGGGCGACCAGAACCUUGUUGGUCACCAAAAUUCUGGGUCUGGUGGUCACCAAAACUUUGGUGGUCAUCAAAACCUUGGUGGUCACCAAAACCUUGGUGGUCACCAAGAUUUGGGACAUUGGGGUCAUGGUGGCCACCAAAAUUCUGGGCCUGGUGGUCACUGGGGCGACCAAAACGUUGGUGGUCAUCCAACCCUUGGUGGUCAUCGUGGUCACCAAGAUUUGGGGUCUUGGGGUCAUGGUGGCCACCAAAAUUCUGGUGGUCAUUGUGGCCACUGACGCCAUCUUGGUGGCCACCAACCCGUUGACCACCACCCCAAUGGUCACCACCACCAUCUUGGUGGCCACCGCCGCCAUCUUGGUGGCCACUGACCCAUUGACCACCCCUCCUACAGCCACAACCACCUUGACCCCUCUUGCAGUGGCCACCGCCGCCAUCUUGGUGGCCAAUGACCCCUUGACCCUCGUCCCAAUGGCCACUGCCGCCAUCUUGGUGGCCACCAACCCGUUGACCACCAACCCAUUGGUCACGGCCGCCAUCUUGGUGCCCACCACUGCCAUCUUGGUAGCCACCGCCGCCAUCUUGGUGACCACUGACCCCAUUUUGGUGGCUACUGCCGCCAUCUUGGUGACCACUGCCGCCAUCUUGGUGGCCACCAACCUCUUGACCACCAACCCAGUGGCCAUCGCCGCCAUCUUGGUGACCACAACCACCAUCUUGGUGACCACCAACCCCUUGACCACCAACCCAUUGGCCACCGCCGCCAUCUUGGUGACCACAAUGGCCAUCUUGGUGCCCACCGCCGCCAUCUUGGUGGCCCAUGACCCCUUGACCACCACCCCAGUGGCCAUGGCCGCCAUCUUGGUAGCCAUGGCCGCCAUCUUGGUGACCACAACCGCCAUCUUGGUGACCACCACCGCCAUCUUGGUGGCCACUGCUGCCAUCUUGGUGGCAACCAACGCCAUCUUGGUGACCACAACGGCCAUCUUGGUGACCACCAACCCAUUGACCACCACCCCAGUGGCCAUGGCCGCCAUCUUGGUGGCCACUGCCGCCAUCUUGGUGGCCAAUGACCCCUUGACGACCACCCCAGUGGCCACCGCCGCCAUCUUGGUGGCCAAUGACCCUUUGACCCAUGUCCCAUUGGCCACCGCCGCCAUCUUGGUGACCCCCGCCGCCAUCUUGGUGGCCACAACGGCCAUCUUGGUAGCCACCGCCGCCAUCUUGGUGCCCACCCCCCCCAUCCCACCACCCGCCCUCGUUGCCCACCCUCAUGCCGCGCUUGCCCAACGCCACCCGCGGCCGCCCUCGCUCCAGCGCGGCCACCAGCACGCACGCCAUGCACAUCUCCCCGCUGGCGGCGCCGCCGCAACUCCGGCACGCCCCCGGCGCCGCCCCCGCGCCCGGCGCCGCGCCCAGCGCCAACCGCCGGCCCGAAUGCGCCAACGCGGCCACGGCGGCCGGCCGGGCGGCCUCCAGGUCCUUCAGCAGCGCCCGCGGGUGGCCGCGGAACGCCAGCGGCGCGUGCCGGCACUCGGCGCUGGCGUAGGGCAGCCCCAGGAAAUGCGCGUAGAGGACGAUCUCCUUCUGCGCCGCGUGGCGCAGCGGCUUCAGCCGCGGCACCGUUGGCCACGGAGAGGCCGGGUUGGGUUUCCCCGAGGGCGCCUUGGGGAGCGGUGGGGUCUUGGUGGGUUUUGGUGA
Molecule: long non-coding RNA, 2433 nt
Organism: Taeniopygia guttata (zebra finch)
Lineage: Eukaryota; Metazoa; Chordata; Aves; Passeriformes; Estrildidae
Source: Ensembl